AGGACGAACGCUGGCGGCGUGCUUAACACAUGCAAGUCGAGCGGAAAGGCCCUUCAGGGUACUCGAGCGGCGAACGGGUGAGUAACACGUGAGUAAUCUGCCCCUAGCUCUGGGAUAGCUCCGGGAAACCGGGAUUAAUACCGGAUACGACCACUUUAGACAUCUGUUGUGGUGGAAAGAAUUUUGGCUAGGGAUGAGCUCGCGGCCUAUCAGCUUGUUGGUGGGUAACGGCCUACCAAGGCGACGACGGGUA
RNAcentral lists this ribosomal RNA (253 nucleotides) under uncultured bacterium. Its description in RNAcentral is "partial small subunit ribosomal RNA". It matches the Rfam family "Bacterial small subunit ribosomal RNA", at positions 26 to 285 of the family's 1533-position model. The record is from RNAcentral.